Hibiscus syriacus is the source of this 577-nucleotide long non-coding RNA. RefSeq lists it as uncharacterized. The record is from RefSeq and is a predicted model, not a curated record. The transcript is spliced from 5 exons. Lineage: Eukaryota; Viridiplantae; Streptophyta; Magnoliopsida; Malvales; Malvaceae.
AGUGCACUGAGAAUUGUAAUCGCUGAUGAAUAUGAUAACAGGAGCCGAAUUGGGUUGGGCAUCGACUCCACACCUAAAGAGAAAAGAUCGAAGCUUUUCUUCCAUAAGCAAAGGUGUGGUGAUCUUCCUCAGGCCAGGGGUGCUUUAAGUUUAUUCUAUCAGUGUUCUGGCUGCGUCGGCGGGUUAUUACGACAUCUGCAAAGUCCAGUACACUUGCAGUUUAGUUGCUCACUGCAACUUACACUUGCUUUGCUGAUAGCUAUUUUUCCUAUUGUGCUGUUUGUGCUUUAUUCGAGUUGAGAGCGAGUGGCUGCUAUGUGCUGUUGAUCAAGACCAAGAGGUGUUGGAUCUAUUUCCCCAGGCAUCGGAUUUCCUUCGGGGGUGAAGAUUGCAAGCUUGAAUCUCGUUCACGGCUUGUUUUCGAGAUCCGGAUGAAACUUCGUCUCGAGCUUGCUCGGAUACGAAAAAGGAUUUGUUGCCAUUUCAUUGCCACACUGUAAAUGCAUUGAUGGUCUUGCAUGCAUAUAAUAUAUAUGUAUGUGUGUAUAUAUAUAUAUAUAUGUUUUAAAAUAAAAAU